Molecule: ribosomal RNA, 253 nt
Filed under: uncultured bacterium
Lineage: Bacteria
Description: partial 16S ribosomal RNA
Rfam family: Bacterial small subunit ribosomal RNA
Source: RNAcentral
UACGUAGGGUGCGAGCGUUGUCCGGAAUUAUUGGGCGUAAAGAGCUUGUAGGCGGUCUGUCGCGUCUGCUGUGAAAAUCCGGGGCUCAACCCCGGACUUGCAGUGGGUACGGGCAGACUAGAGUGUGGUAGGGGAGACUGGAAUUCCUGGUGUAGCGGUGAAAUGCGCAGAUAUCAGGAGGAACACCGAUGGCGAAGGCAGGUCUCUGGGCGACUACUGACGCUGAGAAGCGAAAGCAUGGGGAGCGAACAGG